Callorhinchus milii (elephant shark) is the source of this 143-nucleotide small nucleolar RNA. The record is from Ensembl. NCBI's taxonomy places the organism in Eukaryota, Metazoa, Chordata, Chondrichthyes, Chimaeriformes, Callorhinchidae.
AUGCACGUUUAUCCUAGCACAAGACUCAUCCUCCUUACGUCCAUAAGGUGUUUGAUGGAGCAACGUGCAAAAUUAUGUUUGGAGAUAACAGGGCCACCAGUCUUUGAGGACAGACUGAAUGGUAGUAACAGUCUCUGACAUCA